RNAcentral lists this long non-coding RNA (369 nucleotides) under Brassica napus (rape). RNAcentral's name for it is "long non-coding RNA (BNAP_LNC022855)". The record is from RNAcentral. Lineage: Eukaryota; Viridiplantae; Streptophyta; Magnoliopsida; Brassicales; Brassicaceae.
CGCAGAGGCACCUUAGGAAGAGCGAGAGCGUAAAAAUGGAAAAGCGUGAGAGAUUUGUGUUGGAGGUGUUGUAACCACCAGUCGUUUCUGGCGCUGUGGUGGUAUGCGUAUCUGGGACAUUAAGGAGAGUUCAAUAGAGAGUAGAUCUUAAGCUUAAAGACAGCAGGGGUGAAGCAGAUCUGAGCCAUUGGUAAUAAAAUCAUGGAAGAAGAAGCCAGUUACGAGAUGGACACCUUUAAAGAAUACAAGUUAGCAGUCCUACCUUUCGCUUCGUGUGCAAGAAUCAAUGGAAGCUAAAAAUCAAGAAGCCCUUUAUCAUGAAUCACAACUAUUUUUUUCGCAACUGGAGAUCGCUAAACUGAAUCUGAU